Molecule: long non-coding RNA, 2899 nt
Organism: Oncorhynchus tshawytscha (Chinook salmon)
Lineage: Eukaryota; Metazoa; Chordata; Actinopteri; Salmoniformes; Salmonidae
Source: Ensembl
GUGUGGACUCCGACUGCAAAACCUAAACCUAUAGGAGAGGGUCUGGGUGGGCAUCUAUCCGCCGGGACGGCUCUGGUGCGGGACGUGGACCCCACUCCACCUUAGGCUUGGCCCACUUAGGUGGCACCUCUGGAGCGGGGACCCUCGCAGCGGGCCCCGGACAGGCGGGCGACUCUGGCAGCUCCGGACAGGCAGGCGACUCUGGCAGCUCCGGACAGGCGGGAGACUCUGGCAGCUCCAGACAGGCGGGAGACUCUGGCAGCUCCGGACAAGAGGGAGACUCUGGCACCUCCGGACAGGAGGGCGACUCUGGCACCUCCGGACAGGAGGGCGACUCUGGCACCUCCGGACAGGAGGGAGACUCUGGCACCUCCGGACAGGAGGGAGUCUCUGGCACCUCCGGACAGGAGGGAGACUAUGGCAGCUCCGGACAGUAGGGAGACUCUGGCACCCCUGGACAGGAGGGAGACUCUGGCAGCAGGCUGGGGAGACAUACAUACCCCAACUCACGCCCUGACCAAACCAAAAUAGAGACAUAAAAGGAUCUCUAAGGUCAGGGCGUGACAUCAUCAUUAGAGUCGCAUCAUGUACACUUACAAUGUAUUAAAAAUAUCACAACUAAAGUUACAUAAAUAACUAAAUGAAGCAUAUUAAGCAUAGAGGGGACCUGUUUCUUUGUUACCCGCUCAAUACAAGAUAGCCACAUGUGCACACUCCCUCUGAAAUCAUUUGGAGAAAAUAUCCUUUCUAUUUGAUUCAGCUUUGUUCAAUUGCAUUCUUCAAUUUAUGAAGGAAUAUAAAAUAAUGCCACAAAAUUCUGCUAAAUGAACUAGCGUAGCCCACAGCCAUAUGGCAUAGCCAGAUUAGGAGCCAACAUAAGGAACUCAGAGUAUGCUAUUCUGUUCAUCUGAAAUGGACUACAUUUACUUCAUGUCAUGCCUCUAGACCUGUCUAAAACGAAUAUUGGAUUUAUUGUGACGGUGUAUGCUAUAUUAGAUGGAUUUAUUCGACUUUUAAAGUAGAUGACCAAAGGUCAGCAUCGGUGGCUUGUAGGUGUGGAAGCCUGGAGAUGUGUGGAAUGUGUUUAUGUUAAUUAACAGUCAAUAACAAUGAGACAGGCUGAUUACAUUUCGUGAACGCCACAGCCCGCAUAACAAUAAACAGCACUAUUUGUUCUAUUCCUAUAGAGAGGUAAAUCCUCUAGAGUCAUGUUACUAACAUCAUUUAAAGCAUUAUGGUGCAUUAAGCACAGAGUUGAGAGUUGUGCAUGUGCACACACCCUCCCUUCCUUUGCCUUCCUCCGACCUCCUUAUUACCAUCCUGCAUCCCUCCAGUGCCUUUGAAAGCCAAAGAAAACAGAAUAAUAUGUAUAUAUUUUUUUACAUGUCCUUAUUAGGUGAAUCUGUUGUUUCUUCUGUCGUAAAGCAUGCAGAUUAGCAACGAGAGGUGUGUGUGUGUGUGUGUGUGUGUGUGUUGCUCUUCAAGUUCCCUGCAUGGCCGACUCAUCCUAUCCCUAGAUGUGGAACAGAAUUUCUAAACAACACAGCAACACGCACACAUACGCACACUAGGGCUGUGAUGAUUCCAUGACGGCAAUAUGUUUUCCAUGAAAGCACGAAGCUGUAUGUAAAAUGUUGUGUGCUAUAGCUUGGAAAGUAAAUACAUGUGAUGUUUGUUUCCAGCGUCAGGGCUGUUUUCCUAAAGAAGUUCAAACCGCUUCGUGCUUUGUUUCCUUCCCACAAUAAUAACGAGUACCGGGAUACUGGUAUCAUCCCGACCCUAACACACACACACACACACACACACACUUUCAGCUGCUGUGAGGUAAGAAAAAACACUGAAAAGCAGAAAGUGCUUUUAGGAAGACCGGACAACCCCCACGCCAUGGAAAAAAUGGAAUGGUCUGAGGCUUUCUCAGUAGAAAUAGCCCAAGUAGCCAAUUUAGACAAACCAUAACUGCAUUCGUGACAUUUAAGCACACACACACACACACACAUACACACACAUACACACACACACACACACACACACACACACACACACACACACACACACACACACACACACACACACACACACACACACACUCACACACACACACACAGAUAAACUCCCAUCAUUGCUGUUAUUCAGUCUUCCUCUUCUUCUUUCUCUCUCCAUUCCGCUCUCCCCGUCUCGGUUGGCUGCACACCAUCACCCGGCUGAGGAUGAAAGAGAAUUACUCAUGCGUAUUAAUGGUGGAUGUUGGAUGUUUUAAAACGCCUACUACCAUAUAUAUCUAUCUCUUUACGUUUACAAAAAGGCUCUUCUUCUCACCAGCCAAGGGCAUGGUAGCUGCUGCAGUGCACUGCAUUCUUUACACACGCACACCUACACACACACACACACACACACACACUCAUACACUCAUACACGUUUUGUUCUUCUAUCCUUGUGGGGACCUAUCAUUUAUUUCCAUUCAAAAUCCUAUUUUCCCUAACCCUAACACCAACCCUUACCCUAACCUCAACCCGUAACCUAACCACUAAACCCUUACCCUAAUUGUAAAAUAGCGUUUGCCCUCAUUUCCCCAGAGAAUUGUCCUUGUUUCACUAUCCUUGUGGGGACUUUUGGGGAUUUUAAGUCCCCACAAGGAUAGGAGAACCAAGGCACUCUUUCUCUCUCUCUCUCUGACAUACACUGUGCACUGUGGUUUGUGUACUGGGCUUCUCUCUGCACUCCUGUCAUAUUUUAUUUAAGGCCUUUCUAAAUGUCUAUUUCCAGAUCCACAUCACUUUGUAUUUAUGAGCCGCUACUGUAUUUGUGGGAACAGAGUAAUUUUAACCAAAUAUUCCCCUUCUUCUCUCUCUCGUGCACGCACGCACACACACACACACACACACACACACACACACACACA